AUACGGAGGGUGCAAGCGUUAAUCGGAAUUACUGGGCGUAAAGGGUGCGUAGGCGGUUUAAUAAGUCGGGUGUGAAAGCCCCAAGCUCAACUUGGGAAUUGCAUUCGAUACUGUUGAACUGGAGUGUGGUAGAGGGAAGCGGAAUUCCGGGUGUAGCGGUGAAAUGCGUAGAUAUCCGGAGGAACACCAGUGGCGAAGGCGGCUUCCUGGACCAACACUGACGCUCAAGCACGAAAGCGUGGGGAGCAAACAGGAUUAGAAACCCUAGUAGUCC
Molecule: ribosomal RNA, 274 nt
Filed under: uncultured bacterium
Lineage: Bacteria
Description: partial 16S ribosomal RNA
Rfam family: Bacterial small subunit ribosomal RNA
Source: RNAcentral